CCUACGGGGGGCUGCAGUGGGGAAUAUUGCACAAUGGGCGCAAGCCUGAUGCAGCCAUGCCGCGUGUGUGAAGAAGGCCUUCGGGUUGUAAAGCACUUUCAGCGGGGAGGAAGGCGUUAAGGUUAAUAACCUUGGCGAUUGACGUUACCCGCAGAAGAAGCACCGGCUAACUCCGUGCCAGCAGCCGCGGUAAUACGGAGGGUGCAAGCGUUAAUCGGAAUUACUGGGCGUAAAGCGCACGCAGGCGGUCUGUCAAGUCGGAUGUGAAAUCCCCGGGCUCAACCUGGGAACUGCAUUCGAAACUGGCAGGCUAGAGUCUUGUAGAGGGGGGUAGAAUUCCAGGUGUAGCGGUGAAAUGCGUAGAGAUCUGGAGGAAUACCGGUGGCGAAGGUGGCCCCCUGGACAAAGACUGACGCUCAGGUGCGAAAGCGUGGGGAGCAAACAGGAUUAGAUACCCGAGUAGUC
This 465-nucleotide ribosomal RNA is filed under the name uncultured Klebsiella sp. RNAcentral describes it as "bacterial SSU rRNA". It matches the Rfam family "Bacterial small subunit ribosomal RNA", at positions 338 to 795 of the family's 1533-position model. Lineage: Bacteria; Pseudomonadati; Pseudomonadota; Gammaproteobacteria; Enterobacterales; Enterobacteriaceae. The record is from RNAcentral.